GAUGAAGAACGCAGCGAAAUGCGAUAAGUAAUGUGAAUUGCAGAAUUCAGUGAAUCAUUGAAUCUUUGAACGCACAUUGCGCCCGCCAGUAUUCUGGCGGGCAUGCCUGUCUGAGCGUCAUUUCAACCCUCAUGCCCCUAGGGCGUGGUGUUGGGGAUCGGCCAAAGCCCGCGAGGGACGGCCGGCCCCUAAAUCUAGUGGCGGACCCGUCGUGGCCUCCUCUGCGAAGUAGUGAUAUUCCGCAUCGGAGAGCGAUGAGCCCCUGCCGUUAAACCCCCAACUUUCCAAGGUUGACCUCAGAUCAGGUAGGAAUACCCGCUGAACUUAAGCAUAUCAAUAAGCGGAGGA
This 348-nucleotide unclassified non-coding RNA is filed under the name soil metagenome. Its description in RNAcentral is "partial contains 5.8S ribosomal RNA, internal transcribed spacer 2, and large subunit ribosomal RNA". The stretch from base 1 to 120 matches the Rfam family "5.8S ribosomal RNA", at positions 35 to 154 of the family's 154-position model. The record is from RNAcentral.